AGGACGAACGCUGGCGGCGUGCUUAAUACAUGCAAGUCGAGCGAGAAGCCACUUCUCCGUAAGGAGAGGUGGUGGAAAGCGGCGAACGGGUGAGUAACACGUGGAUAACGUGCCCUGAACUCUGGGAUAACAGCGGGAAACCGCUGC
Molecule: ribosomal RNA, 147 nt
Filed under: uncultured soil bacterium
Lineage: Bacteria
Description: partial 16S ribosomal RNA
Rfam family: Bacterial small subunit ribosomal RNA
Source: RNAcentral